CCUACGGGAGGCCGCAGUGAGGAAUAUUGGUCAAUGGACGAGAGUCUGAACCAGCCAAGUAUCGUGACGGAUGACUGCCCUAUGGGUUGUAAACUUCUUUUAUGUGGGAAUAAAAUGUUCCACGUGUGGGAUUUUGUAUGUACCAUAUGAAUAAUGCUCGGCUAACUCCGUGCCAGCCGCCGCGGUAAUACGGAGGAUCCGAGCGUUAUCCGGAUUUAUUGGGUUUAAAGGGAGCGUAGGUGGAUUGUUAAGUCAGUUGUGAAAGUUUGCGGCUCAACCGUAAAAUUGCAGUUGAAACUGGCAGUCGUGAGUACAGUAGAGGUGGGCGGAAUUCGUGGUGUAGCGGUGAAAUGCUUAGAUAUCACGAAGAACUCCGAUUGCGAAGGCAGCUCACUAGACUGCAACUGACACUGAGGCUCGAAAGUGUGGGUAUCAAACAGGAUUAGAUACCCUUGUAGUC
This 460-nucleotide ribosomal RNA is filed under the name uncultured bacterium. RNAcentral describes it as "partial 16S ribosomal RNA". It matches the Rfam family "Bacterial small subunit ribosomal RNA", at positions 338 to 795 of the family's 1533-position model. The record is from RNAcentral.